ACGACCCGAGGUGGAGCUCGAUGCGGCCAGGGCGCGACGAGCAGAGAGAGGGCGCGGCUGGAGAGAGAUGGAGGGAGGAGAGAGGAGACCGCGUGCACACAGCAGAGAAGCUCGGCUGGGGAGGCGCAGCGGCCAUGGAGCUUGGGGCCGGGCAUGCAGGGAGCAGCGCGGUCAGCCGAGCUGGAGGGCGAGCAACGCCGGCGAGCUCGCACGCGGAGAAGCAGCAGGCACGGCAACCAUGGCUGGAGCAGGAACGCGCCGGGGAAGAGCAGCAGCCGGGAGAGGGCGCUCGCAGCAGCCGUCACCGGCGAGGAAGGGUGUAGGGGCACGGCCAAAACCAAACACAGGGAGCCAUGGCUGCAACUCCGGCGGCUGGAGACCUACAGUGUCCAUGGACGCGAGCAGGGAUCCGGCGAAGUGGAAGACGAGCAGAGGCGCGGUCCGAGCGCAUGGGAGCUCCAGGACGUGCGGCACACAGACCAGAGAGAGAAAGAAGGGCGCGGCUUGGGAAAGCAGGAGGCGCGCCAGGGAGCUUCACAGCGAGCGGACGCCAGGGAACCGCAGCCAUGGAGGUGGGCGCCGGCAGAGGAGCGCGGCGCGGAGGGAGAUGGAGCAGGGAGGGCACUGGCGCGUCCACGGCGACCAUGGAAGAGAAGCGUGCGCAGGGAGACGAGGGAGGGAGAGGAGCUCGACCAGAGAGAGGGGCGCCACGAUGGAGGGACUCGGCCAGCGCUGGGGACGACGGAGCAGAGGACGCGGCCAGGAAGAAGAUAGGGGAGAGGAACGUCGACGAAUGGGAAGCAGGGGAAUUGCGCGGAGAAUAAG
This 825-nucleotide unclassified non-coding RNA is filed under the name Zea mays. Its description in RNAcentral is "misc RNA Zm00001eb048400". The record is from RNAcentral. Lineage: Eukaryota; Viridiplantae; Streptophyta; Magnoliopsida; Poales; Poaceae.